AGACACCGAUGGCUAUGCAAGCAGUGGUUCUGUGCAAGCGUGCAAGCAAACCAUUUGAUCCAUUAGAUUACGAUUCAACCACAGAUACAACCAUGGUUUGUUAGGAGCUAUUUUAUAAAGAUUAUUGAGCUAGUGGUGGAAGAGUUUAAGUGUUAAAUGUGAUUUACGGUUGGAUCACGAUCUAAUGGAUUAGAUGGUUUGGUUGCACGUUUGCACAAAAGGACUGCUUGCAUAGCGGUCGUUGCCU
Non-coding RNA from Zea mays, 247 nucleotides. Lineage: Eukaryota; Viridiplantae; Streptophyta; Magnoliopsida; Poales; Poaceae. The record is from RefSeq and is marked provisional.